This 179-nucleotide unclassified non-coding RNA is filed under the name uncultured Helicosporium. RNAcentral's name for it is "sequence contains ITS1". The record is from RNAcentral. Lineage: Eukaryota; Fungi; Ascomycota; Dothideomycetes; Tubeufiales; Tubeufiaceae.
CCGAGUACCGGGUCCUCUGGGCCCUUACUCCCACCCUUUGUGUACCAAACCUUUAUUUCUUGUUGCCUUGGCGGGUCUAAGGGGAGACCCCGGGGGCCUCACGGCCCCGCCCGCCAGGGGGACAGCCCUUAAAAACUCUUGUUAACUGGGUCGUCUGAGAAAACAAAACAAAUGAAUUA